This is a small nucleolar RNA of Corylus avellana, 70 nucleotides long. RefSeq annotates it as small nucleolar RNA Z103. Lineage: Eukaryota; Viridiplantae; Streptophyta; Magnoliopsida; Fagales; Betulaceae. The record is from RefSeq and is a predicted model, not a curated record.
GUGGAAGUGAUGAUUAUUUCCCCAAAUGAUCGAAGCUGAUUAUAAUUGUGCUACUUUUUUCAGAAUCCAA